This 495-nucleotide ribosomal RNA is filed under the name uncultured bacterium. RNAcentral describes it as "partial 16S ribosomal RNA". It matches the Rfam family "Bacterial small subunit ribosomal RNA", at positions 28 to 507 of the family's 1533-position model. The record is from RNAcentral.
GACGAACGCUGGCGGCGUGCCUAAUACAUGCAAGUAGAACGCUGAAGGAGGAGCUUGCUUCUCUGGAUGAGUUGCGAACGGGUGAGUAACGCGUAGGUAACCUGCCUGGUAGCGGGGGAUAACUAUUGGAAACGAUAGCUAAUACCGCAUAAUAGUAGAUGUUGCAUGACAUUUGCUUAAAAGGUGCAAUUGCAUCACUACCAGAUGGACCUGCGUUGUAUUAGCUAGUUGGUGGGGUAACGGCUCACCAAGGCGACGAUACAUAGCCGACCUGAGAGGGUGAUCGGCCACACUGGGACUGAGACACGGCCCAGACUCCUACGGGAGGCAGCAGUAGGGAAUCUUCGGCAAUGGACGGAAGUCUGACCGAGCAACGCCGCGUGAGUGAAGAAGGUUUUCGGAUCGUAAAGCUCGGUUGUAAGAGAAGAACGAGUGUGAGAGUGGAAAGUUCACACUGUGGCGGUAUCUUACCAGAAAGGGACGGCUAACUACGUG